Molecule: long non-coding RNA, 7849 nt
Organism: Mustela lutreola (European mink)
Lineage: Eukaryota; Metazoa; Chordata; Mammalia; Carnivora; Mustelidae
Exons: 2
Source: RefSeq, a predicted model, not a curated record
GUGUCAAAUAAAUAAAAUAUUUUAAAAAUAAAUAAAAUAAAUGAAUGAAUGAAUGAAUGAAUGAAUGAAAUAGCCAAGUAGUUCACAGCCUCUUAAUAUUAUGCAUUCUAUUUUAAGGCUCUUUUUGUCCCCCAGCCCAAGAAAUUAUUUCUCAUUUGAACUCUUCAUAUUGGGUUAAGCAAGAAUUACUUAUCUCCCUUUUAUUGAUCAGAUGCACAGAAAUCUUGUUAGAUCUUUACUGUUUGUGAAACUCUUUCCCCUUCCUGCUUGUCACUCAUUUAUUUCACUGUAUUUGUUCUUCACCUUCCCAUGACCUUGGAACUUUGACUUUAGUAACUUAGCCCCUCCUUAAUUUGUACCUGUCAAGCACCACAGAUUUUUACUUCCCUCAACAUUUUGAUCCCAACUCUUUUCUUCCUGAUUCUUGUGUCAUGGCUACUUCUUCUUUAAAAAAUAUUUUUAUUUAUUUAUUUGACAGAGAGAUCACAGGUAGGCAGAGGCAGGCAGAGAGAGCGGGGGAAGCAGGGUCCCUGCUGAGCAGAGAGCCCGAUGUGGGGCUCAAUCCCAGGGCCCUGGGAUCAUGACCUGAGCAAGAGGCAGAGGCUUAACCCACUGAGCCAUCCAGGCACCCCUUUAUAGCUACUUAUUUAACCAAAGCCUGUCUCCAGUCAAUACAAAUACUUGUAUUUCUACUGCACCUGUAGUGCAGUAUGAGAGUGGUUCUGAUUCACUGGGCUCAGAACUGCCAAGUAAUCUUCCAUAUGUCAUUUCCUACUUAGUCUCCUCAGCUCUCAUUCUUAAGCAUUGGUUCUUGGGCCCUCAUCUUUCUUAAACUGCCCUUGUCUUUCCUCCAUCUUUUCUUACUCCUAAUAGAAAAUUUAACAAAAUGUGGACCAUCAGGUCAGAGUGCAUUUAUGCCUGUAAUAUCCACCAUCAAACUAGGACCCAAAUAUUCCUGUCCUUAAAUUUUUCUCCCCUUUUCACUGUCCGUUAAAGGAUAAUUCCUACCUAUGAAUUCUGGAUCUUAGACCUCUCUCUAUCUUAUAAAAGAACUUUAUAUCUUUGUAAAGGUGUAUCCUUUGGGGCAUCUGGGUGGCUCACUCAGUUAAGGUCUGCCUUCAUUUCAUGUCAUGAUCCCAGGGUCUGUGGAUCAAGCCCCAUAUCAGGCUCCCUGAUCAGCGGGGAGCCUGCUUUUACCUCUCCUACUGCUUGGACUCUCUCUCUCUCUUUCUGUCAAAUAAAUAAAUAAAAUCUUUAAAAAAUAAAAAGGUGUAACGUUGGCAGCCUCUCUCAUUAUUCAUUAUUUUCCUUUAACCAGUAAACAUCACACAUUUGUGGGGGAAGAGAAUCACUAACUGAAGGAAAAAAACAAACAAAAAACCUCUGUUGACUCCCACUCUCUGUGUCUACUGUCUUCUCUUUUUACAUGUCUUUUUACACUGCCUCAUUUAUGUCACCUUCCAUUCUAUUUGCAGAUGUGUGGCUCUAAAUUUAAAUAGGUUUAAAUUUAAACAGAGAAGAAAUACAAUCCCAUUUUUGACACCUUAAGUAUUUUAUUAAAUACCAAUAAGAUAUUUUAAAAAUAUGUGUAAGAUAAGGGAUGCCUAGGUGGCUCAGUCGUUAAGCAUCCAUAUCUUGAUUUUGGCUCAGGUCGUGAUCCUGAGAUCAAGCCCCGCAUUGGAAUCCACACUCAGCGCAGAGUCUGCUUGUUCCUCUCCUUCUGUUCUCCCCAUUCCCCCUCCCGCUUGCACAUGUUCUCUUUCUCUCUGGCUCUCAGGUAAAUAAAAUCUUUUUUUAAAAUGUGAAGAUAUAAAGAAUAACUACCGGGGUGCCUGGGUAGCCCAGUCAUUGGGUAUCUGCCUUUGGCUCAGGUUGUGAUCCCAGGGUCCUAGGAUCAAACCCACCUAGGGUGGGCUCCCUGCUCAGCAGGAAUCCUGCUUCUCCCUCUCCCCUUGCUUGUGUUCCCUCUUUCUCUGUCUCUAUCUCUCUCUCCCCCUCUGUCAAUAAAUAAAUAAAAUCUUUAAUAAAGAAAGAAUAACUACAGACACUUGUGUGUCUUCUACUCAGUUUAAGAAAAAGAACUUAAUCAGUGAAUUCUGUGAUUGCAUUCCAUUUCUUCCUUGUUCAGGGGUAAGCACUACAUUUUUGUGUUUUAUCAUUCCCUUCCCUUCCCUUCCCUUUUUCAGAUAUAUUUUUUUUGGCUGAGAUAAAAUUUACCGUUUACCAUUUUAUAAUAUACAAUUUAAAGACCCUAGCAUAUUCACAAUAUUGUACAACCAUCAGUACUAAUUCCAGAACAUUAUCCACUCCAGAAAGAAACCCCACACUCUUCAGCAGUCAUUCCUCACCCCACCUUCUCUUCCUGAAAGCCACGUUCUGUCUCUAGGUUUGCCUGUUCUGGACAUUUCAUAUAAGUUGAAUCAUUCAUUAUGUGGCUUUUCAUAUCUGACUUCUUUACUAAGCAUGUUUUCAAGGGUCAUUCAUGUUAAUAGCAUGUGUAAGUACUUCAUUUCCUUUUUAUGGCUGAAUAUUACAUUGAAGAAUAUAUUAUAGUCUGUUUAAUUAUUCACCGAUUAAUGGACAUUUGGGUUUUUUCUACUCUUUGGCUAUUAUAAAUAGUGCUGCUGUGACCAUCUUGUACAAGUUUUUGUAUAAAUAUAUUUUCUGGUUCUCUUGGAUAUCUACAUAGGAAUAGAAUUGCUGGGCAUAUGGUAACUCCUAUGUUUAACUCUUUGAGGAAGUGCCAGACUGUUCCAAAGUGGUUGUACCAUUUUACAUUCCCACCAGCAGUGUUUGAGAGUUUAUUUCUCUACAUCCUCACUUACAUUUUUUUUAUAGCCAUCCUAGUGGGUAUGAAAUAGUAUCUGAGCAUGAUUUUUAUUUGAAUUUUCCUGACUAAUGAUGUUGAGUACCUUUUCUUGCACUUACUAGCCAUUUGUUAUUAUUUUGGAGAAAUAUCUAUUCAGAUCUUUUGCCCGUUUUUAAAUUGGGCUGUUCUUUUAUUGUUAUAGGAACUCUCUGUUAAUUCUGGAAAUGAGACCCUUGUCAGAUACAUGAUUUGCAAAUAUUUUCUCCCAUUUUGUGAUUGUCUUUUCAUUUGAAAAUGUCCUUUGAUGCACAAAUUUUUAAAAAUUGAUGAAGUCCAUUAUCUUUUUCUUUCAUUGUUUUUGGUAUCAUAUUUAAGAACCCAUUGCCCAAUCCAUGGCCAUGAAAAUUUAUACCUGUGUUUCCUUCUAAGAAGUUCAAAUUUUAGCUCUUUUAUUUAAGUCUUUGAUCUAUCUUUUGAAAUAAAUUUUUAAAGUUUAAUUUUGUAUGUCAUGUUUGGUAGGUGUUUCAGUUCAUUCUUCUGUGUAUGGCUACCCAGUUGUCCCAGUGCCAUUUUUUGAAAAGAUUGUUCUUCACCACACGGUCUUAGAACCUUGUUGAAAAUCAUGGUCUUGGGCACCUGAGUGGCAUAGCAGUUUAAGCAUCCAACUGUUAGUUUCAGCUUAGGGUCCUGAGAUUGAGUCCUGCAUCUGUCUCUCUCCCUGCUUGGCAGGGAAUCUGCUUUGGAUUCUCUCUCUCUCUCAAAUAAGCAAAUCUCAAAAAAAAAAAAAAAGAAAGAAAGAAAGAAAGAAAGAAAGAAAGAAAAUCACUAUCUUGCUUAUUGUUGCUUUGUAGUAAGGUUUGCUAUUGGGAAGUGUGAGCCUUCCUACCUUAUUACUUUUUAGGAUUGUUUUGGCUAAUCUUGAUCUCUCCCAAUUCUUAGAAUCAGUUGAUCAAUUUCUACAAAGAAAUCAGCUGUGAUUCUGAUAAGGAUUAUGUUGAAUCUGUAGGUCAGUUUUGGGAGUAUUGUCAUUUUAACAAUGUUAAAUCUUUCAAUCCAUGAAUACAGGAUGUUUUUCCAUUUCUUCAGAUCUUUUUUUGUAGAUUUUAUUCAUUUACUUCUCAGAAAAAGAGGGAGAGAAAGGACAAGCAAAGGAGGCGACAGUCAGAGGGAGAAGUAGGCUCCCUGCCGAGCAAGGAGCCCAAUGCAGGACUUGAUCCCAGGACUCCGGGAUCAUGACCUGAGCUGAGGACAGCGGCUUAACCAUCUGAGCCACCCGGGCAUCCCUCUUUAGAUCUUCCUUUUUUAAAGGAUUUUAUUUAUUUAUUUGACAGAGAUCACAAGUAGGCAGAGAGGCAGGCGGGGGAGGGGGGGAGCAGGCUCCCUGCUGAGCAGAGAGCCCGAUGUGGGGCUCGAUCCCAGGACCCUGAUACCAUGACCUGAGCCGAAGACAGAGGCUUAACCAACACUGAGCCACCCAGGCGCCCCAUCUUUAGAUCUUCUUUAAUUUCUUUCAAUAUUUGUUAAGUGUUGUACUUCUUUUGUUAAAUUUAAUCCUAAAUAUUAUUUUUAAAAUGCUAUUGAUUUUCAUAUAUUGGUUGAUCUUUUAUUUUCUGCAACUUUGCUAAACUUAUUUAUUUAUUUCCUUAUUUAUUUUUAAAUAUUUUUAUUUAUUUAUUUGACAGCGAGAGAGAUCCCAAGUAGGCAGAGAGGCAGGUGCAGAGAGCCUGAUGCAGGUCUCGAUCCUAAGACCUUGAGAUCAUGACCUGAGUUGAAGGCAAAGGCUUAACCCAAUGAGCCACCCAGGCGCCCCUAAACUUAUUUAUUAGCUCUUACAGUUUUUUAUGUGAAUUCUUUAGGAUUUAUUACAUGUCAUAUCAUCUAUGAAUAAAGAUAAUUUUGUUUCUUUCCAAUCUAGAUGCCUGUUUUUCCCCUGUAUCUAAUGGCCCUACCUAGAACUCCCAGUAUAUUGUCAAGUAGAAGUGGCAAGAGCAGACCUCUUUUUUCUGAACUUUGUAUAGGGCAGGCUUUUGGUCUUUAACCUUUAAGGAUGAUUUUAGCUAGGGCUUUUUCAUUGAUGCCCAUAUUAGAUUGAGGAAGUUCUUUCAAUUAGUAGUUUGUUGAUUUUUUUUUUUUCCGGUCAUGGAAAGGUGUUAGAUUUUGUUGAAUGCUUUUGUUACUUUUUGUAUCUGUUGAACAAAUAGGGAUUCCCCCCUUUAUUUAAUACAGCAUAUUAUAUCAAUUUAUUUUUAUGUAUUGAAUCAACUUUGCAUUCCUUAGAUACUCUUACUCGGUCAUGGUGUAUGACCCCUUUAAUAUGCUGCUGAGUUCAGUUUGCUAGCAUUUUGUUGAGGAUUUUUUUAUCUGAAUUCAUAAGAGGUACUAGUUUGUAGGGUUUUUUUUGUGAAAUGUUUAUAUAAGAGUAAUACUGGUUUCAUAGAGUGACUCAAGAAAUAUUAUCUCUUUUAUUGACAGCCCUCCUUUUCCCCAAGAUUUUAUUUAUUACAGAGAGCUCAAGGGGGCAGAAGGAGAGAGAGAAUCCCGAGGGAACUCUGUACUGAGCACUGAGUCUGAAGUGGGGCUCAAUCCCAGAAUCCUGAGAAUAUGACCUGAGCUGAAAUCACCAGUCAGAUGCCUGACUUGAGCCACCCAGAUUUUAAAUGGUUUUAAAUUGUCCCUUAGAUUUAAAAAUGGUUUUACAAUGUGUUUUGUAUCCCUAAACAUGUAUUGUUUAAUUUGAACAUGGUUUUGACUAUUUUAUUAUUUUUUGUUAAGAUUUUAUUUAUUUAUUAGAGAGUGCACUUGAGAGAGAGCAUGAGCAGGGUAAGAGGCAGAGGGAAAAACAGACUUCCUACCAAGCAGAGAGCUCAAUGUGGGACUCCAUUCCAGGACCCUGGGAUCAUGACCUGAGAGGAAGGCAGACAGUUGCUUAACCAACUGAGCCAUCCAGGUGCCCCAAUUUUACAUGAUUUUAAACUUUAGGUAAAUGGAAACAUAUUUCCUGGUAUACGUGUAUGAGAGUUUAUCCAGAGUUUGGCCUUUGUUCUUCUUAUUCUAUUACUUUAAGUAGUUAUACCUAUAUAUUUUUCCUGACCUGUAUAUAUUGAUAAAUAAUGUCAUUAUCAUUUUUCCCCUAGAAAUUCUAAGGUCUCGGAUUUAUAGAAAAGCCUUUAAAAAUGUUAAUUCCUUGGGGCGCCUGGGUGGCUCAGUGGGUUAAAGCCUCUGCCUUCAGCUCAGGUCAUGAUCCCAGGGUCCUGGGAUCGAGCCCUGCAUCAGGCUCUCUGCUCCACCGGGAGCCUGCUUCCUCCUCUCUCUGCCUGCCUCUCUGCUUACUUGUGAUUUCUCUCUGUCAAAUAAAUAAAUAAAAUCUUUUUUAAAAAAUGUUAAUUCCUAGUUUUAUUUUACUGUGUUUAUAUAUGUUACUUAAAUUAUCUCUUUUUGCAAUUUAUUAUGGUUUCCUCUAUAGCCUAAUACAGCCUUUUUUGAUGAACAUUCUAUGAGUACUUUAAAAGGUGUGUUUCCUAUUUUUAGGCCACAUACCUUAAUAUAUUAAUAAGGUGUUCAUGGGGCACCUGGGUGGCUCAGUGGGUUAAGCCUCUGUCUUUGGUUGAGGUCAUGAUAUCAGGGUACUGGGAUCGAGCCCCACAUUGGACUCUGCUCAGCAGGGAGCCUGCUUCCCCCUCUCUCUCCGCCUGCCUCUCUGCCUACUUGUGAUCUCUCUCUGUCAAAUAAAUAAAUAAAAUCUUUAAAAUAAAUAAAUAUAUAUAUAUUACUGAGGUGUUCAGUGUCUUAGUUAGUUUUUAUCUCUUUGAUCUGUCAUUAAAUAGGAGAUGAUUUAUCAAAUCUCCAUAUUUUAAUAAAUCUCUGAUUUCUGCAUCAUGAAUGUUACUGCUAGAUUAUGGUAGAUAUUAAAAUUUUUAGAUACCAUGAGUUGCCCUCAUUGACAUUAUUAAGUGCUUUUCUUUAUCUUCUUUAAAGCUUUAUAGUGUAAUCUGUACCUCAUUUGAAAGUAAGAUCUUGAUUCUGCUUUCAUUUUGUGUGUAUUGUCUUGUAUAUUUUUGGGUUUGGAGUGUGUUAUUUUGUUUUAAUUUUUCUUUAAGGUUUUUAUUUAUUUUUGUGAGAAAGGGAGACAGAGCUAAAGAGCGAGCACAAGUGGGGUUGGGGACAGAGGGAGAAGCAGACUCCCCGCUUAAGCAGGGAGUCGGACCCAGAACUUGAUACCAGGACCCUGGGAUUAUGACCAGAGCCAAAGGCAGAUGCUCAACCAACUGAGCGACCCACGUGCCCCUGUGUUUUUUGGUUUUUGUUUUUUAAGCUAUUUUUUUUAUUUGAGAAAGAGAGAGAAUGGCGGGGGCGGGGGGUGUGGGGAGAGAAAGAAUCUCCAACAGACUCCCUGCUGUCUUUAAAGCUGGACACAUCUUGGGGCUUCAUCCAGUGAUGCUGAGAUCAUGACCUGAAUCUAACUUAGAGUCAGUUGAGGGGUGCCUCGGAGGUUCUGUUGUUUAAGCAUCUCCUUUGGCUCAGGUCAUGAUCGAAGGGUCCUGGGAUCAAGUCCCACAUUGGGCUCCCUGCUCAGUGAGAAGUCUGCUUCUCCCUCCCCUGCUGCUUGUUCUUUCUCUCUCUCUCCCCCCCUCAAAUAAAAAAAAAAAAAAAAAGACUCAGUUGGGUAUCCAGCUGAGCCACUCAGGUGCCACAUCUUUGUUUUUUAUGUUCAAUCCUUCUGAAUUACUUUGUUUUGGACGUACAUCUUACAAUUUUCAUGGAGUUGGCUUUAACUUUGCAUUACAAUAUGAAAAAUUUUUUUAAUGAUUUAAUUACAUAUAUUUUUAAGUAACCUCAAAUUCACAUCCCCAUGAUCAAAAGUCACAUGCUUACUUGACCGAACCAGCCAGUGCCCCCAAUUUUUUAUGUUUUAUGUGACAGAUAGGUUCGGUUUAUUUUAUAUGAGGUAUUUUUUUUUUUUAAUAUAGGGAUAGAGAUAAAUAUAGAGGGACUGUAUUUUGUUGUAGUUCCCUUUAACUUAAUAAAAUAACCCUUUGUUCU